AGAGUUUGAUCAUGGCUCAGAUUGAACGCUGGCGGCAUGCCUUACACAUGCAAGUCGAACGCGAAAGCGGGGCAACCCGCAAGUAGAGUGGCGAACGGGUGAGUAAUACAUCGGAACAUAUCCAGUAGCGGGGGACAACCUGUCGAAAGAUAGGCUAAUACCGCAUACGACCUACGGGUGAAAGCGGAGGACCGCAAGGCUUCGCACUAUUGGAGUGGCCGAUGUCGGAUUAGCUAGUUGGUGAGGUAAAAGCUCACCAAGGCGACGAUCCGUAGCUGGUCUGAGAGGACGACCAGCCACACUGGAACUGAGACACGGUCCAGACUCCUACGGGAGGCAGCAGUGGGGAAUUUUGGACAAUGGGCGCAAGCCUGAUCCAGCCAUGCCGCGUGAGUGAAGAAGGCCUUCGGGUUGUAAAGCUCUUUCGGUGGGGAAGAAAUGGUACGUGCUAAUACCACGGACUGAUGACGGUACCCGAAGAAGAAGCCCCGCCAUCGCU
This 499-nucleotide ribosomal RNA is filed under the name uncultured Methylibium sp. Its description in RNAcentral is "bacterial SSU rRNA". It matches the Rfam family "Bacterial small subunit ribosomal RNA", at positions 8 to 504 of the family's 1533-position model. The record is from RNAcentral. Lineage: Bacteria; Pseudomonadati; Pseudomonadota; Betaproteobacteria; Burkholderiales; Sphaerotilaceae.